RNAcentral lists this long non-coding RNA (1244 nucleotides) under Salvia miltiorrhiza (redroot sage). Its description in RNAcentral is "long non-coding RNA (SMIL_LNC009622)". The record is from RNAcentral. Lineage: Eukaryota; Viridiplantae; Streptophyta; Magnoliopsida; Lamiales; Lamiaceae.
UUUUGUAUAAAAUGAAGAGAAAAAUAUUUUACUUUAAAACUUCUUACUUGUAAAAUAUAGUACCCUUCGUCCCAUUAUUUAUGACACGUAUUCCAUUUUGUGUUGUCCCAACCUACAUGACACGUUUCUAUUUUAGGAAAUAAUAAGGGGCCAUUUAAAGCUUAAUUAAUCCAUAAUUAACUGCCUAAAUAAAAUCAUGUUAACUAUUUUGCAUCUCUCUCUCUACUUCUGCGGUCCGCCUCUCCAUCUCUGAAUUUCCCUCUUCUUCAUCCCUCCAUCUCUAAACCCAAGCGCCGCCUAUCACCGGCUCAACGGCCUCCCUUCUCAUCCACCAUCCGCCUCCCUUCUCUCUUCAAAGUUCUCGCCCACCAUCGCCGUUGAUCUGCAGCCUCCACGCCCUCGCGCCCCCCAGAUCUGUCCGCCAUCAACCCGCAUCGCCUCCACUACCCUCACCACCCCUGCACCACCCACGCCGUCGUCGGCACCACCCACGCCAUCGCGGGUCUCAAGAACGGCGACACGAUUCCUUGCCUCCACCGCCUCUGAGUUUAGCGUCGCCGUCCCCUCCACCUCCACCUAGCGCCGCCUCAACUCUCUCUCUCUCCGUCGAAGAGCUCUAGAUCGCCGCCUUCAAUCGAUGAAAUUCUCUCACAUACAGAGCCCUAGAUCCCCAAUUUUUCCCACCGCGACCUAGCCCCUACCUCCCUCUCUCUCACUCCUUCAUCUUGCUGGACGAACAACAACGACUUCACGCUGCCGCUGUCGCCGGGAUCUCGAGAAGCUCGCGCAGGAGCGGCGCGACUUGCUCGCUACAACAAGAAGCCGAACAUUGGGAAUGAAAUUAGGGUUUGUAGAUUUGGAGGUUUGAUUUGGUUUGCUCUGUUGUUGUUCCUGUGUAUGUGUGUCGUUGUUGGAGAGGGUUAGCUAGGAUGGAAAGACGAAGUGAAUUGAAGUGAAUUGACGAAGGGGAAGGGAAGUCGCCGGCGCCAGAGACGAAGAGAAGUCAGUGGCGCCGGUGCCGGAGAUAAGAAAAUAUGAAAUUAUUUAAUUUCAGUUUGAUGUUAAUUACAAAAUGUUGUUAAUAAACAAUCCCUAAGCAUAAUCUUAAACGUGAGGACUACACAAUUUGAUUCCUUAAUUUUAUUUUCUUAAUCUCCGUGCCGAACAGUAACGUCUCAUAAAUAAUGGGACGGAGGGAGUACAUUUUAAACAAAUUACAUAAAGCUCUUGUCAUGAUUUUUUUU